GUAACAUGACAAUACACCUAUAAACACUAAGCGGAAGUUUUACUUUCGGUUUUGGAGUACCCGGAUGUUCGAGUAAAAUCCGUAGGCAGCGUAAACCGCCAUAUGUAAUGUCUACUGUCACUAUCAAAAUCCUUUAGAAAUGCUGUAAUUGUUUCGGUUUAUUUGUUAAUGUUUUUGUCAAGAUGGACGAUCUAAGUGAUAUGAACCUUGAAAAAAUUAAAUUAUGGUCGAUUCAUGCGCUUAAAGUGUUUCUGUCAAAAAGGAAAGCUGACGUAGAUGGCUCGUUUGAUGAACUCUGUGCGAGAGCCUUUAGUGCAUGGGAACAACAGCUUCCAGUUGAUGCAAAGGCAGAGUGUAAAGAGAUGCGUCUCUUAGGGAAGUACAGUGCGAAACUUCGUGUUGAUGGUGGAGUAUUGCCAGACCCCAUGAUGCUGAAAUCUGGAUGGAAGGGUGAGAAUGCUGGCAUGAACUUAUGGCCUUCUAUUUACAUUACAGACAUCUCAGCCUACAUCGACGGUACAUCCCCUAGUGCUGUUGUUCAUAAACUCAUGAAGGAAUAUAAAUGAUAAUGAAUGGGUCAGAGAAGUUUUAAUGCACCAAAUAUCUGACGAAUUUGAUAAGUGUUUUUUGAAGGCAAAAGUUAAACCUUCACAAAGAGUGAACAAUGCAAGUUACAAUGUUUGGGUAUGUGUUAUGAAAGACCAGAGUGAAAAACCUGAAGGUGAAAUUAUUUCAGCUUAUUGUACCUGUACAGCUGGCAUGUAUGGCACAAGUAAUCAUAUUGCAGGACUCUUGUUCCGUUGUGAACAUGCUGUGAAAACAGGGGCGACCAAAAUCGCAUGCACCAGCAAGUCAGCAACUUGGGUUGUAGCAAAAGGGAAACAGUUGCUGAAUUAUGCAAAAGCAAAAGAUGUCGUAUGGAAAAAAAGCCACUAUCUAACAUCUCCCACAGACCGUCAAGCUGAGGUUAUGGCUAGGAAAAUGAAACAGGCAUUCACACCACUUACGAAAAAAAAAAGUGAAGAUGUUAAAGAUGGUGCCAAAAUGCGCGUAGAUCUUCACACCUUACUAGCUCCUGAUAUUCCAGACUCUUGCUUUAGUUUAACAAUGGAGGGAAGACGACACGAGAAUAAAUCCAUUGAACUACCGAAAACAAUCAUUGAGCUAAGCAAAGAAACAUUAACAUCAGAUGAACUCAAAUCAAAAAAGUCGCCGUGGUGUAAUGGAUAUGGUGUCCGCCUAGCGACCGAGAGGUCACGGGUUCGAUCCCCACCGUGGGAGCGUUCUUUAGAUCUCUCCCAAAGACACCAAGUACUGGUUCUAGGCCCAGGAAACGGACUCGACAGCGUUUAUAUAAGCCUCAGGCUUUCGAUGCAAUCGAGCUAAAAUAAAUAGGUUUAAACUAAAUUUAUGGCUUUAAAUCGGCGUAAAAUGGGCAUUUUGUUUCUGACAAACACAUCUCUUGUUUAUGAUUUAUCAAAGAAAUCAACAAUCAAUCAAUCAAGAAUAUUUCUUUGUCAAUUUGUUAGUCAUUUACAUUUUUUUAAAUGUCUGUAACAAAUCUGUAAAGAUUGGCCAUGCAUGUUUGUCAUAUUGUAUUGUAUUUGUACAUAUUGUAGUUGUACAAGUCAUGGAUAAGAUGAUAAACUUGUGAAACUGCAUAAAAUUGUCAAUAACUGCAAUUGUCUUGGAAUAAUAUGUUUACUUAGAAAACAAACUAAACCCUUUCUGUUAAUUUGUAUGCAUGUUUAGCUAAAAUAAAAUGGUAACAAUACAAGUAAA
This is a long non-coding RNA of Dreissena polymorpha, 1782 nucleotides long. RefSeq lists it as uncharacterized. The transcript is spliced from 2 exons. Lineage: Eukaryota; Metazoa; Mollusca; Bivalvia; Myida; Dreissenidae. The record is from RefSeq and is a predicted model, not a curated record.